Long non-coding RNA from Mauremys reevesii (Reeves's turtle), 1204 nucleotides. RefSeq lists it as uncharacterized. The transcript is spliced from 3 exons. The record is from RefSeq and is a predicted model, not a curated record. NCBI's taxonomy places the organism in Eukaryota, Metazoa, Chordata, Testudines, Geoemydidae.
AUGACAGUGGGGCAGCAGGGCCAAACCUGUGCAGUGCUGUGACCCUUGGGUACCAGGUUGCAACGCCCAGCAUGGGGAGCCGGGCCCAUCCCCGCAGCAUGGGAACCAAGCCACUGCUGCGGGGUGAGAGCAGGGCUUGCUCACUCUAACACCACCACUACGUUCCCCCCCACCACCACCCCCAGCACCCCCUCAGUGGUAAUUUUUUGGAACAGGCGGGGGCUUAGUGUCCUGGCCCUCCAAACACCUCUGUGUGGCCCUGAUCUAGAUGCAGGGGUGGGCCCCAAAUCUUUGUACACUGAGUUUACCCCUCUCCCUUCCACAUCAACAAUGGCACCUCUCCUGUAGAAAUCUAGGUGCGGGUGCACUCCUCCCUGCUGGAAAACAUUGUUGGCGAAAUCAUGGUCCCUCUGAAGUCCAUGGGAGUUUUGCCGUUGACUUCCAUAAGGCCAGGAUUUCACCCUCUGUCUCCAGUGGUGGUAUGAAUGCUUCCCAAGCCUGAGGGACAUACACAACUCAUGUGCUCUGCCAAAGAGCAGGAGAUCGAACUUACUGGGAAUGCCUGAGACGAGCUUCAGAGGCCUGAGCACACGCACCGCUCUCAGGGUCCGCAGGUCCACAUGGGUGUUGAAGUGAGUUCCAGCCGUGGCGAGGAUGCUGCAGCCAGACAACGAGAAGGCAGAGUCAUUAGCCACAGAGACCUGGCAGUGUGAAUGUGCCCGCGAGAGGGAGGCAUCAUGACUAGGCCAUCACAGACGAGGCAUCCGACAGCCUGAAUUGGUGCACCUUACCCUCCGGAGUGAAAUGACAAGCACCAGGAGAAAAAUCUGAGCCAGGCGCCUGCUUAAUCUGGGAGGUGGCUGCAGCGGUGGUGUUCUGGCCCAACAGUCUCAGGCCUGGCCACCUAAUCCCACAAUAUCCCAUCCAGAUUCAUGAAACGUCUCAACCCCAAACGUGGAAUUUUGGAGGAGUUUGGAUCCGGCUUUGAGUUCCAGAGGCCAGCUGUAUGGAAGAGGACCAAAACCCUGGCUCUGAGCACUCCUGAGUUGCGGGGAAGUUCUGAUCCACACAGCUCCAGAUCAUCUGUAAAAAUUAAGUAUACUCCUGCUGAAAGUUUUGGGUUCCUGUUCAUGAAUCUGGUGAUGUUGCAAAUGUGUCAGCUGAUCUCACCUUUUCCGAGAGAAUUAAAAAAGCCAUGUAUUAA